GCGGAGGAAGAACCAACAGGGAUUGCCCUAGUAACGGCGAGUGAAGCGGCAACAGCUCAAAUUUGAAAUCUGGCGUCUUUGGCGUCCGAGUUGUAAUUUGCAGAGGGCGCUUUGGCAUUGGCAGCGGUCCAAGUUCCUUGGAACAGGACGUCACAGAGGGUGAGAAUCCCGUACGUGGUCGCUAGCCUUUACCGUGUAAAGCCCCUUCGACGAGUCGAGUUGUUUGGGAAUGCAGCUCUAAAUGGGAGGUAAAUUUCUUCUAAAGCUAAAUACUGGCCAGAGACCGAUAGCGCACAAGUAGAGUGAUCGAAAGAUGAAAAGCACUUUGGAAAGAGAGUUAAAAAGCACGUGAAAUUGUUGAAAGGGAAGCGCUUGCAGCCAGACUUGCCUGUAGUUGCUCAUCCGGGUUUCUACCCGGUGCACUCUUCUACGGGCAGGCCAGCAUCAGUUUGGGCGGUUGGAUAAAGGUCUCUGUCAUGUACCUCCUCUCGGGGAGAACUUAUAGGGGAGACGACAUGCAACCAGCCCGGACUGAGGUCCGCGCAUCUGCUAGGAUGCUGGCGUAAUGGCUGUAAGCGGCCCGUCUUGAAACACGGACCAAGGAGUCUAACAUCUAUGCGAGUGUUUGGGUGUCAAGCCCGAGCGCGUAAUGAAAGUGAACGGAGGUGGGAACCUUUCGGGGUGCACCAUCGACCGAUCCUGAUGUCUUCGGAUGGAUUUGAGUAAGAGCAUAGCUGUUGGGACCCGAAAGAUGGUGAACUAUGCUUGAAUAGGGUGAAGCCAGAGGAAACUCUGGUGGAGGCUCGCAGCGGUUCUGACGUGCAAAUCGAUCGUCAAAUUUGGGCAUAGGGGCGAAAGACUAAUCGAACUAUCUAGUAGUG
RNAcentral lists this ribosomal RNA (881 nucleotides) under Epicoccum sorghinum. RNAcentral's name for it is "partial large subunit ribosomal RNA". It matches the Rfam family "Eukaryotic large subunit ribosomal RNA", at positions 50 to 952 of the family's 3401-position model. Lineage: Eukaryota; Fungi; Ascomycota; Dothideomycetes; Pleosporales; Didymellaceae. The record is from RNAcentral.